GGGUUAUGCGGGAUUUUUUGUUUUGGUUAUUGUGGGUGGGAUUUUAGUUUCCCAUUAAAGCAACUUUAAUUACGUGAAUUUCAUUCCUUGAAGCCAUAGAUUUUUUUUUUUUAUUGUUGCAUUAAAGGUAUUGCGCAUUUGUGAUUUGAUUGAAUUGUGGAAUUCCAUUUUGGAAGCAACUUUAUUGUUGCAGUGCGAAAUUCUAUUUUGGAAGCAACUUUAUUGUUGCAUCGCUUUAAC
Molecule: long non-coding RNA, 240 nt
Filed under: Vigna radiata
Lineage: Eukaryota; Viridiplantae; Streptophyta; Magnoliopsida; Fabales; Fabaceae
Description: long non-coding RNA (VRAD_LNC005555)
Source: RNAcentral